ACUUUCAGUCGUGAGGAAGGUAGUGUAGUUAAUAGCUGCAUUAUUUGACGUUAGCGACAGAAGAAGCACCGGCUAACUCCGUGCCAGCAGCCGCGGUAAUACGGAGGGUGCGAGCGUUAAUCGGAAUUACUGGGCGUAAAGCGCAUGCAGGUGGUUUGUUAAGUCAGAUGUGAAAGCCCGGGGCUCAACCUCGGAAUUGCAUUUGAAACUGGCAGACUAGAGUACUGUAGAGGGGGGUAGAAUUUCAGGUGUAGCGGUGAAAUGCGUAGAGAUCUGAAGGAAUACCGGUGGCGAAGGCGGCCCCCUGGACAGAUACUGACACUCAGAUGCGAAAGCGUGGGGAGCAAACAGGAUUAGAUACCCUGGUAGUCCACGCCGUAAACGAUGUCUACUUGGAGGUUGUGGCCUUGAGCCGUGGCUUUCGGAGCUAACGCGUUAAGUAGACCGCCUGGGGAGUACGGUCGCAAGAUUAAAACUCAAAUGAAUUGACGGGGGCCCGCACAAGCGGUGGAGCAUGUGGUUUAAUUCGAUGCAACGCGAAGAACCUUACCUACUCUUGACAUCCAGAGAACUUUCCAGAGAUGGAUUGGUGCCUUCGGGAACUCUGAGACAGGUGCUGCAUGGCUGUCGUCAGCUCGUGUUGUGAAAUGUUGGGUUAAGUCCCGCAACGAGCGCAACCCUUAUCCUUGUUUGCCAGCGAGUAAUGUCGGGAACUCCAGGGAGACUGCCGGUGAUAAACCGGAGGAAGGUGGGGACGACGUCAAGUCAUCAUGGCCCUUACGAGUAGGGCUACACACGUGCUACAAUGGCGCAUACAGAGGGCAGCCAACUUGCGAAAGUGAGCGAAUCCCAAAAAGUGCGUCGUAGUCCGGAUUGGAGUCUGCAACUCGACUCCAUGAAGUCGGAAUCGCUAGUAAUCGUGGAUCAGAAUGCCACGGUGAAUACGUUCCCGGGCCUUGUACACACCGCCCGUCACACCAUGGGAGUGGGCUGCAAAAGAAGUAGGUAGUUUAACCUUCGGGGGGACGCUUACCACUUUGUGGUUCAUGACUGGGGUGAAGUCGUAACAAGGUAGCGCUAGGGGAACCUGGCGCUGGAUCACCUCCUUA
RNAcentral lists this ribosomal RNA (1109 nucleotides) under Vibrio parahaemolyticus. Its description in RNAcentral is "bacterial SSU rRNA". It matches the Rfam family "Bacterial small subunit ribosomal RNA", at positions 432 to 1533 of the family's 1533-position model. Lineage: Bacteria; Pseudomonadati; Pseudomonadota; Gammaproteobacteria; Vibrionales; Vibrionaceae. The record is from RNAcentral.